Molecule: ribosomal RNA, 254 nt
Filed under: uncultured bacterium
Lineage: Bacteria
Description: partial 16S ribosomal RNA
Rfam family: Bacterial small subunit ribosomal RNA
Source: RNAcentral
UACGGGGGGAGCAAGCGUUGUUCGGAUUUACUGGGCGUAAAGGGCGCGUAGGCGGCCACCGCAAGUCAGUUGUGAAAUCUCUGGGCUUAACCCAGAAAGGUCAACUGAUACUGCGGGGCUAGAGUGCGGAAGGGGCAACUGGAAUUCUCGGUGUAGCGGUGAAAUGCGUAGAUAUCGAGAGGAACACCUGCGGCGAAGGCGGGUUGCUGGGCUGACACUGACGCUGAUGCGCGAAAGCUAGGGGAGCGAACGGG